RNAcentral lists this ribosomal RNA (116 nucleotides) under Heterocephalus glaber (naked mole-rat). The record is from RNAcentral. Lineage: Eukaryota; Metazoa; Chordata; Mammalia; Rodentia; Bathyergidae.
GCCAGGAGCCAUGUUGCCUUGAGGUCCCGGUCUUGUCUGAUCUUGGAAGCUAACAGGGUCAGGCCUGGUCAGUACUUGGUUAGGAGACCUCCUGGCCAUACUGGGUGCUGUAGGCU